Molecule: ribosomal RNA, 586 nt
Filed under: Porphyra purpurea
Lineage: Eukaryota; Rhodophyta; Bangiophyceae; Bangiales; Bangiaceae
Description: partial 18S ribosomal RNA
Rfam family: Eukaryotic small subunit ribosomal RNA
Source: RNAcentral
GGGGCCUUUUAGGUUUUCUAAUCGGWAUGAGAAGMAUUUAAACCUCUCACCGAGGAUCCAUUGGAGGGCAAGUCUGGUGCCAGCAGCCGCGGUAAUUCCAGCUCCAAUAGCGUAUAUUAAAGUUGUUGCAGUUAAAACGCUCGUAGUCGGAUCUCGGGGCGCGGACACAGAAGCGGCUCCGGUUGCAGCUGUGAACGGUCUGCCCCUAAUUCUGGGACGCGGUGUGCGGGACUUUACUGUCUCUGCGCACCUGCGGGCCGGACGUUUACUGUGAAGAAAUUAAGGUGUUCAAAGCAUGCGUUCGCUAUGGAUACGUGAGCAUGGAAUAAUAGAAUAGGACUUGGGCUCUAUUUUGUUGGUUUCCUGGGACCAAGUAAUGAUUAAUAGGGAUAGUUGGGGGCAUUCGCAUUUCAUUGUCAGAAGUGAAAUUCCUUGGAUUGAUGGAAGACGGACUACUGCGAAAGCAUCUGCCAAGGAUGUUUUCUUUGAUCAAGAACGAAAGUUAGGGGAUCGAAGACGAUCAGAKMCSKYSKWAKYYUWAMCCAUAAACUAUGCCGACUGGAGAUUGGCGGGGAUUUGUUGUAUG